CAGUAGCGAAGUUCCUGAUGUCACACUGCCAAGAAAAGCUUCUAGUGAGAAAGUAACUGCCCGUACCGCAAACCGACACAGGUAGUUGAGGAGAGAAUCCUAAGGUGUGCGAGAGAACUCUCGUUAAGGAACUCGGCAAAAUGACCCCGUAACUUCGGGAGAAGGGGUGCUGACCGCAAGGUCAGCCGCAGUGAAUAGGCCCAAGCGACUGUUUAUCAAAAACACAGGUCUCUGCAAAAUCGAAAGAUGACGUAUAGGGGCUGACGCCUGCCCGGUGCUGGAAGGUUAAGAGGAGAGGUUAGCGCAAGCGAAGCUUUGAAUUGAAGCCCCAGUAAACGGCGGCCGUAACUAUAACGGUCCUAAGGUAGCGAAAUUCCUUGUCGGGUAAGUUCCGACCCGCACGAAAGGCGUAACGAUUUGGGCACUGUCUCAACGAGAGACUCGGUGAAAUUAUAGUACCAGUGAAGAUGCUGGUUACCCGCGACAGGACGGAAAGACCCCAUGGAGCUUUACUGCAGUUUGAUAUUGCGUGUUUGUAUCACAUGUACAGGAUAGGUAGGAGCCGAAGAUACCGGGACGCCAGUCUCGGAGGAGGCAACGGUGGGAUACUACCCUUGUGAUAUGACCACUCUAACCCGCUGCUCUUAGCGAGCAGGGAGACAGUGUCAGACGGGCAGUUUGACUGGGGCGGUCGCCUCCAAAAAUGUAACGGAGGCGCCCAAAGGUUCCCUCAGAAUGGUUGGAAAUCAUUCGUAGAGUGUAAAGGCAGAAGGGAGCUUGACUGCGAGACCUACAAGUCGAGCAGGGACGAAAGUCGGGCUUAGUGAUCCGGUGGUUCCGCAUGGAAGGGCCAUCGCUCAACGGAUAAAAGCUACCCUGGGGAUAACAGGCUUAUCUCCCCCAAGAGUUCACAUCGACGGGGAGGUUUGGCACCUCGAUGUCGGCUCAUCGCAUCCUGGGGCUGUAGUCGGUCCCAAGGGUUGGGCUGUUCGCCCAUUAAAGCGGUACGCGAGCUGGGUUCAGAACGUCGUGAGACAGUUCGGUCCCUAUCCGUCGCGGGCGUUGGAAAUUUGAGAGGAGCUGUCCUUAGUACGAGAGGACCGGGAUGGACACACCGCUGGUGUACCAGUUGUUCUGCCAAGAGCAUCGCUGGGUAGCUAUGUGUGGACGGGAUAAACGCUGAAAGCAUCUAAGCGUGAAGCCCCCCUCAAGAUGAGAUUUCCCAUCACUUCAAGUGAGUAAGACCCCUGAGAGAUGAUCAGGUAGAUAGGUUGGGAGUGGAAGUACAGCGAUGUAUGGAGCGGACCAAUACUAAUCGGUCGAGGACUUAACC
RNAcentral lists this ribosomal RNA (1333 nucleotides) under metagenome. RNAcentral's name for it is "bacterial LSU rRNA". It matches the Rfam family "Bacterial large subunit ribosomal RNA", at positions 1580 to 2925 of the family's 2925-position model. The record is from RNAcentral.